UUCCGCAGAGAGCAUCAUAAUGAUCAUAUUUAACCUCUGGUACUCCCAAACAGAUUUGGUUACUCAAACUCUAUCGUUGCUUUGAUUCCAGUAGCUGAUGAUGGUCUAGUACGAAGUUUUUGGUGGUACUUGCACUCCAAAACAAUUUUUUUGCAGAGAAGAAGCAAAAAGGAAAAGACUUUUUGCAGUGCAAGGAGUGGCAUAU
Molecule: long non-coding RNA, 205 nt
Organism: Arabidopsis thaliana (thale cress)
Lineage: Eukaryota; Viridiplantae; Streptophyta; Magnoliopsida; Brassicales; Brassicaceae
Product: other RNA
Exons: 1
Source: RefSeq